Molecule: long non-coding RNA, 514 nt
Filed under: Mytilus galloprovincialis (Mediterranean mussel)
Lineage: Eukaryota; Metazoa; Mollusca; Bivalvia; Mytilida; Mytilidae
Source: RNAcentral
AGAAUCUGUUUUCAACAACAACAUGUUAGAAGUACUAAUGUUACAGUAAUGCCAAUUAUGUGAAUCAGACAGGAUUGACCAUAGGUGCCGUACUUCCUUUCCCGAAACAAUAAAUAACUUUUUUGAACUGAGUAAGCGAAUUGUUUCAGUGACAUUUAACAUAUGUUAAUGUUUGACAGGCUUUUCCGUCAUGAUGGCAUUGCCAAAAUUAUUUAUAGAAACAAGGUUAAUUAGUAUCGAAUUCCAGAAAGAUUAGGAACACGGAUCACCAACUAAAUGAUGAUACAAGGGAAGGUGCCAGUGGGACACAGUCCCAAAUGCAAUCUUUGAAUAAAAGUGACACCUAACAUCCACGUAUUCCAACAUCAGUCUGAAUUCCGAUAGCAAAAAAUCUUAUUCGGAAGACUCCGUAUACAUACUAUAAGUACUUUAUUGUAAUUAAAUUACAAAAUAUUGAUCACAUGAUGCUAGUAUUACUAGACUUUCAAUUGCUUUUAAUCAAUCCGACAUUAAU